This 721-nucleotide ribosomal RNA is filed under the name Melanoleuca grammopodia. RNAcentral's name for it is "eukaryotic LSU rRNA". The stretch from base 321 to 474 matches the Rfam family "5.8S ribosomal RNA". Lineage: Eukaryota; Fungi; Basidiomycota; Agaricomycetes; Agaricales; Pluteaceae. The record is from RNAcentral.
UCGUAACAAGGUUUCGGUAGGUGAACCUGCGGAAGGAUCAUUAAUGAAUAAACCAAGGUGGAUUGUUGCUGGCUCUUAGGAGCAUGUGCACAUCUGCCAUUGUUUCAUUCUUUCUCCACCUGUGCACCUUUUGUAGGCUUGGAUAACUCUCAAGGACUGAAUUACAUUCAUACAUUCAUUUCUUGGAUUUAGGGAUUGGUUUCAAGAAAACCUCUCCUUUGCAUUUCCAGUCUAUGUUUAUUAUAUCUACACCCCAUUAGUAUGUGUUAGAAUGUUUAUUAUUUGGCCUUUCUUUUUGAUAGGCUUUAAAAUGGUUAUACAACUUUCAACAACGGAUCUCUUGGCUCUCGCAUCGAUGAAGAACGCAGCGAAAUGCGAUAAGUAAUGUGAAUUGCAGAAUUCAGUGAAUCAUCGAAUCUUUGAACGCACCUUGCGCUCCUUGGUAUUCCGAGGAGCAUGCCUGUUUGAGUGUCAUUAAAUUCUCAAUCCUUUCUGGGUUUAUUCUCAGCUAGGCUGGGAUAUGGGGGUUUUGCUGGCUUUGUACAGACAAAGUCAGCUCUCCUGAAAAACAUUAGCAAGACUGUUGUUGCAACCUUCUAUCUGGUGUGAUAAUUAUCUACAUCAUAGAUUGUAUGCAGUUUAUUAUGUCUGGCUUCUAACAGUCCAUUGAAUUGGACAAAACCUAUGACAAUUUGACCUCAAAUCAGGUAGGACUACCCGC